CCUACGGGAGGCAGCAGUGGGGAAUACUGCACAAUGGGCGCAAGCCUGAUGCAGCCAUGCCGCGUGUGUGAAGAAGGCCUUCGGGUUGUAAAGCACUUUCAGCGGGGAGGAAGGCGGUGAGGUUAAUAACCUCAUCGAUUGACGUUACCCGCAGAAGAAGCACCGGCUAACUCCGUGCCAGCAGCCGCGGUAAUACGGAGGGUGCAAGCGUUAAUCGGAAUUACUGGGCGUAAAGCGCACGCAGGCGGUCUGUCAAGUCGGAUGUGAAAUCCCCGGGCUCAACCUGGGAACUGCAUUCGAAACUGGCAGGCUAGAGUCUUGUAGAGGGGGGUAGAAUUCCAGGUGUAGCGGUGAAAUGCGUAGAGAUCUGGAGGAAUACCGGUGGCGAAGGCGGCCCCCUGGACAAAGACUGACGCUCAGGUGCGAAAGCGUGGGGAGCAAACAGGAGUAGAUACCUAGUAGUC
This 464-nucleotide ribosomal RNA is filed under the name uncultured Klebsiella sp. RNAcentral's name for it is "bacterial SSU rRNA". It matches the Rfam family "Bacterial small subunit ribosomal RNA", at positions 338 to 795 of the family's 1533-position model. Lineage: Bacteria; Pseudomonadati; Pseudomonadota; Gammaproteobacteria; Enterobacterales; Enterobacteriaceae. The record is from RNAcentral.